This 145-nucleotide unclassified non-coding RNA is filed under the name uncultured Hyphodiscus. Its description in RNAcentral is "sequence contains ITS2". Lineage: Eukaryota; Fungi; Ascomycota; Leotiomycetes; Helotiales; Hyaloscyphaceae. The record is from RNAcentral.
CAACCCUCAAGCUCUGCUUGGUAUUGGGCCAUCGCCAUCCGGCGGGCCUCAAAAUCAGUGGCGGCGUCAUCCGACUCUAAGCGUAGUAAUUCUUCUCGCUCUGGAGCUUGGCUGGCUGCUUGCCAUCGAACCCCCAAUUUUUAAA